UCCUCCUGCUAAUAUCUCUGUCUUUACAUCUCUCCGCCUUCAGAAGGCACCUUAAAAACAGUCUCUCUGAUCAUGGCUUUGAACACCUCUGAUAAUUUCUUUCUAUUCCUGCUCAGCUGUGAUUUCCAUCUUUGUAAUGCUGCAUGAAGACACUAAUAAACAUAAACUGCUGUCAUCUGAAUGUUAGCGAGACACAAUCAACACCAUAGGAAACAACAUAGAGGCCCAAAUUAAAAGGAUUGGCAGUUAAAUUACAGCACCAUUGAAAAAUUAUAUUAAUCAUAUUUUACAUACAAUGCAUGUCGAAACCAAAGCCCUUUCUUCAGAGACCUUUCCUUAUUUGGACUGUUAAUUAAUUGAUUAUACUGAAAUUUGCAAUUUGAAAUCUAACUGGAACAUAAUCCCACACCUAAAACAUGUUGACGGGCUUAGACUUUUAAUUCAUUUUCAUUUCUUUCGAUUUAGUUGCAAAUCCAGCUGAAAUGCAAAAAAAACAUGUUCAAUAUAAAAGUACAGAAAGUGGAGAUGAUUAACAAUGUACAUUUCGGCUACAUGGGAAGGACUGCCUCUGAGACUAGAUAAAGGUUUACUGUGGAGAAUGUCAGAUGUCUUGAACCAGCAUUCACCCUGAAGUGCUCAUCAAUAACACAUGAUGCAAAGGCGAAGAAACCCAACAGAGAACAUUGACCAGCUAUCAAACGACAUCAAAGGAAAAAUUUUAAAAUGAUGCCAAAAAAGUGCUUCAACCAUUGUAACAAUGAAAAAUUUAUGCAACAAUCAUCUUCAAAUGCUUUCCAAUUAUCUCCAAAGCAUCCUCCAAAGUUUUCUCAUAUAUGUUCUUCAAGUCAACACCCA
Molecule: long non-coding RNA, 855 nt
Organism: Pristis pectinata (smalltooth sawfish)
Lineage: Eukaryota; Metazoa; Chordata; Chondrichthyes; Rhinopristiformes; Pristidae
Exons: 3
Source: RefSeq, a predicted model, not a curated record